This is a long non-coding RNA of Onychomys torridus (southern grasshopper mouse), 2049 nucleotides long. RefSeq lists it as uncharacterized. The transcript has 3 exons. The record is from RefSeq and is a predicted model, not a curated record. NCBI's taxonomy places the organism in Eukaryota, Metazoa, Chordata, Mammalia, Rodentia, Cricetidae.
ACACUACCAAGGCAGGCGCAGGGGUGCGAGCCGUACCACUCAGCAGCCGUGGGGGCGUCUGGAGCAGCUGCGCCUUGUGCAGCGAGCUAUGCUGGAUUUGACUGUCGUGACUCAGGCUGGAGCUGGAACCCUGAAGAAGGGUAGGGAGGGGUCCGUGGGGGAAUUCCUCAAGAACACUCAACUGAGACCCUACUUCUGCGUGGACCUGCCCCCAAGACCGUCCCUACGUACGUCCACCCCAUCACCCCGGGGUUCCUUGGGCCUCUGAGGUCCCAGAUCGGUAGUGGAAGGCAAACUCACGCGCCUCCGUCUCCCGGUUGGUGUUGCCGAGUUGUGGGCCAGCUCCCGGCCACUGGUUGGAGCCAGCAGAUUGUGCUCAGGCGGGCCGAAUGGACCACAGCGCGUCCCUUACUACAACAGCUUUGUCUUCCAGGUAGUGGCACCCGGUUCCUGUCUACACAGUGGGUUCUGCCCAAAGUCAAGGACAGUUGGGGAGCUGCCCCGUGCUCCUGCCAACAGCCAAAGCUACUUGGCCCUGGAUCCCUAGAGGCGGCAUUACGGGAAGGGCAAAGACCUCCCGACCCAGUUCACCCAUGCCAUGCACCUACCAAAGACCUGAGGCCAUUAGGAUAGCAGUGGCUGGAGCAGAAUCGGUCCCCUCUCUCUGAGCAGAUGGCCAGCACUUGGAGAGCCCACCGUGGCUCUGGAGUCACACAAAUGGUCUGAGCACUUCUUGGGCAAUAUCUGCUAGUCAGGUGUUCUCAGACUCUUAUCUCUCAUCCAGAGAGCGCAGUUGCCCACCCUACCCUGGAUUGUAUCACACCUCACCUUGAGAUAGGAUAGCUAGUUAUAGAAGACUCGAUGAAUUCCCGUACAUACCCCACCCAUCUAGUUCUGAUUUUUGUCUCUGAACACAAGGAAUUUCAACACAGUAAGCCAGGCCACCUGCGAAAGAACCUUUGAGAAACAUCACACACAAGAUGGAUAAAAUAGCCAACAGACUGUGAUUUAAGUCCUAUGUCCCUGAGACUCGUGCAUAAGGGUCCUUUUGAAGUGUCGUUGAAUCGUCUGUUCAGGAGAAAGAUUUAUAUUGAUACUCGAUUUUCGUGUUUCCCCCUGAUGUUUCAUUAAUAUUCGUGGCACCCCUGAGCCCAUGGUUAGCGCCUCAGUUCGAGCCUCCCUGCUUUACUAUGGUAAGCAACCACAUGAUUUCAACACCACCCUGAGCUAUGUGAGACCCUGUCUCAAAAUAACAACAAAAAGUGAGCUGGGUGUUUGUAAUCCUGACCCUUUGGGAGGUGGAGAUAGGAUGACCAGCCAAGAUUGAUGCCUCCUCUAAGUACUCUAAGCUUCCUGUGGACCAGGGCCAAGCUGCUCAUUCAUCCAUCCAGACGUUAUAGUGCCUGCCCAGGCACCGUGAGAAACACUCCAGAGAAAGAACCCAGUGCUCCUUGACUGAAUCUCUAGGCUGCUGUGCCACAGGCCAUUUGGAGAAGGCAAAUUGGAAUGAGUUUAACAGAGGUGGUGCUGAGGGACAGUUUAACACUCAUUUCCUGGAGGGUAGCAAAGGGCGUUCAUGCCAUGUUUCAUUGUUUCGAGAAGAUUCCCUUCUACCAGCUUUCUCAUCACAGGCAUCUGCCUGGCCUGCAGGUUUGUAACUGAGGGAUCAUGCUGAACCAAAGCGGCUGACAAACCAGAAAACAAAAUCCCGAACAAUCCCAAUGGUGGAGAAGAGCCAAGGCUCCCGAUAGCCUCCCAGCCACCUGGAAUCAGGGCAUUUCCUGCUUCUCAGGAGGCUCACAGAACGAGGCAAGCAAGGAAGCAGGCCUGUUACCAAGGGAUGCAAUCAUGCCCCGCCCACUGCUGACCUUCAUGACGUGACCAGCCCGAGCCAGUUGUGACCAGACCUGUUGUGUGAGCUGAUCAAAGUAGAGACUAUCACAUGAUUCCUGUGAUCCAGCAUCCUGUCAGACCUGUGUGGGCAAGCAGCCUGCCUAGGCAGAUGUGACCCAGUUGGUAAGUGGAAAGAGAGAGAGAGAGAGAGACAUA